This 492-nucleotide ribosomal RNA is filed under the name uncultured bacterium. Its description in RNAcentral is "partial 16S ribosomal RNA". It matches the Rfam family "Bacterial small subunit ribosomal RNA", at positions 29 to 507 of the family's 1533-position model. The record is from RNAcentral.
AGUGAACGCUGGCGGUAGGCCUAACACAUGCAAGUCGAACGGCAGCACAGUAAGAGCUUGCUCUUACGGGUGGCGAGUGGCGGACGGGUGAGGAAUACAUCGGAAUCUACUUUUUCGUGGGGGAUAACGUAGGGAAACUUACGCUAAUACCGCAUACGACCUACGGGUGAAAGCAGGGGAUCUUCGGACCUUGCGCGAUUGAAUGAGCCGAUGUCGGAUUAGCUAGUUGGCGGGGUAAAGGCCCACCAAGGCGACGAUCCGUAGCUGGUCUGAGGAGAUGGAUCGGCCACAUGGGACCUGGGACACGGUCCAGACCCCAACGGAAGGAAGCAGUGGGAAUAUUGGACAAUGGGCGCAAGCCUGAUCCAGCCAUACCGCGUGGGUGAAGAAGGCCUUCGGGUUGUAAAGCCCUUUUGUUGGGAAAGAAAAGCAGCAGGUUAAUACCCCGCUGUUCUGACGGUACCCAAAGAAUAAGCACCGGCUAACUUCGUG